AGUCGAGGGGUAUAGUUCUUCGGAACUAGAGACCGGCGCACGGGUGCGUAACGCGUAUGCAAUCUACCUUUUACAGAGGGAUAGCCCAGAGAAAUUUGGAUUAAUACCUCAUAGCAUAGCAGUCUCGCAUGAGAUCACUAUUAAAGUCACAACGGUAAAAGAUGAGCAUGCGUCCCAUUAGCUAGUUGGUAAGGUAACGGCUUACCAAGGCUACGAUGGGUAGGGGUCCUGAGAGGGAGAUCCCCCACACUGGUACUGAGACACGGACCAGACUCCUACGGGAGGCAGCAGUGAGGAAUAUUGGACAAUGGGCGCAAGCCUGAUCCAGCCAUGCCGCGUGCAGGAUGACGGUCCUAUGGAUUGUAAACUGCUUUUAUACGAGAAGAAACACUCCGACGUGUCGGAGCUUGACGGUAUCGUAAGAAUAAGGAUCGGCUAACUCCGUGCCAGCAGCCGCGGUAAUACGGAGGAUCCAAGCGUUAUCCGGAAUCAUUGGGUUUAAAGGGUCCGUAGGCGGUUUAGUAAGUCAGUGGUGAAAGCCCAUCGCUCAACGGUGGAACGGCCAUUGAUACUGCUAAACUUGAAUUAUUAGGAAGUAACUAGAAUAUGUAGUGUAGCGGUGAAAUGCUUAGAGAUUACA
Molecule: ribosomal RNA, 640 nt
Filed under: Flavobacterium sp. S174.08.SCU.W.Gill.N
Lineage: Bacteria; Pseudomonadati; Bacteroidota; Flavobacteriia; Flavobacteriales; Flavobacteriaceae
Description: bacterial SSU rRNA
Rfam family: Bacterial small subunit ribosomal RNA
Source: RNAcentral